RNAcentral lists this signal recognition particle RNA (95 nucleotides) under Acidobacteriota bacterium. Its description in RNAcentral is "Acidobacteria bacterium (activated sludge metagenome) signal recognition particle sRNA small type". It matches the Rfam family "Bacterial small signal recognition particle RNA". From Rfam's summary of the family: The signal recognition particle (SRP) is a universally conserved ribonucleoprotein involved in the co-translational targeting of proteins to membranes. Archaeal SRP consists of a 7S RNA and homologues of the eukaryotic SRP19 and SRP54 proteins. In most bacteria, the SRP consists of a 4.5S RNA and the Ffh protein (a homologue of the eukaryotic SRP54 protein). Lineage: Bacteria; Pseudomonadati; Acidobacteriota. The record is from RNAcentral.
AAUUGGGCAUCGGCAACGAUUGGCUAUGAACCGUGUCAGGCCUUGACGGGAGCAGCACUAAGUAGAUUCAGUCGUGUGCCGGUGUCUUACUGUUC